Molecule: ribosomal RNA, 631 nt
Filed under: bacterium
Lineage: Bacteria
Description: bacterial SSU rRNA
Rfam family: Bacterial small subunit ribosomal RNA
Source: RNAcentral
ACAUGCUUCUGAAAGUCCCGAGAAACCGGGACCCUCUCACAAGGACAGAAGUUCAGGUGCUGCAUGGUUGUCGUCAGCUCGUGCCUUGAGGUGUUCCCUUAAGUGGGGUAACGAGCGCAACCCCCAUCCUGUGUUACAAGUGUCACAGGAAACUGCCCCGCUCUAAGUUCAGAAUUUAGAAUAUAGAAUUUAGAAUCUAGAAUUCGGUUGAUAUUUUUCUUCCGCAUUCUACUUUCUAUUUUCUACUUUCUCGAUUGCGGGCUUUGAGCGGGGAGGAAGGAGGGGAUGACGCCAAAUCAGCAUGGCCCUUUGACGCCCUGGGCUACACACGUGGUACAAUGGUUACUACAAUGGGUCGCCAAGUCGUAAGACGGAGCCAAUCCCAUCAAAGCCGAUCUCAGUUCGGAUUGAGGGCUGCAACUCGCCCUCAUGAAGUUGGAAUCGCUAGUAAUCGUGAAUCAGCACGUCACGGUGAAUAUGUUCCUAGGUCUUGUACUCACCGCCCGUCAAGUCAUGGAAGCUGGGGGUGCCAGAAGUCCCACAACAAAGUGGGCCCAAGGUAAAACCAGUGACUGGGACUAAGUCGUAACAAGGUAUCCGUAGGAGAACCUGCGGAUGGAUCACCUCCUUU